This 148-nucleotide long non-coding RNA is filed under the name Cricetulus griseus (Chinese hamster). RNAcentral describes it as "lncRNA (ENSCGRG00000025235.1)". The record is from RNAcentral. Lineage: Eukaryota; Metazoa; Chordata; Mammalia; Rodentia; Cricetidae.
CUCCAACAGGAUAGACAGGCCUAGUCGUGGCUAGAGUUAGAACCCCACUUUCACUGAACUUCUUACAGUUGGAAACUGGUGUCACCCAGCUGUAUCCUGAAUUCAUUUUGUGGAGCACAUCCCCAUGCCCAGCAAGAGACGACCCCAC